Molecule: ribosomal RNA, 570 nt
Filed under: Triticum aestivum (bread wheat)
Lineage: Eukaryota; Viridiplantae; Streptophyta; Magnoliopsida; Poales; Poaceae
Description: partial small subunit ribosomal RNA
Source: RNAcentral
ACGGCCCGCUAUCGACAGGAGAACAUUUGCCCAAGCGGAGAGCACCGAGCUACCUCUCAUCUCACCACCACCACCAAGCGGAGGAGCCACCUGAGGACGGGCGGCGAGCGAGAGGGCGGCGGCGAGCGAGAGGGCGGGGGCCGGACAUACGAGGCGAAGCGGGGUCAGGGCGAAGAGAUGGCGUUCACCAUGCGCGCGGUGAAGGUUCCGCCGAACUCGGCGUCGAUGGGGGAGGCGCGGCACCGCGUGUUCGACUUCUUCAGGCAGGCCUGCCGCGCCAUCCCCUCCAUCAUGGAGAUCUACAACCUCGACGACGUCGUGACCCCCGCCCAGCUCCGCGCCAGCAUCUCCCAGCAGAUCCGGAAGAACCAGGGCGUCUCCGACCCCAAGGUCAUUGAUAUGCUUCUCUUCAACGGGAUGGAGGAGCUGAACAACAUCACCGAGCACGCGAAGCAGCGCCACCACAUCAUCGGGCAAUACGUGGUUGGCCACAAGGGGCUGGUGCAGGACCUGGAAAAGGACCAGGGGAGCUCCGAGUUCCUGAAGAAAUUCUACACCAGCAACUACUAG